GAACGCGAAGAACCUUACCCGGGAUUGAAAUGUAGAUGACCGCUCCUGAAAGGGAGUUUUCCUUCGGGACAUCUAUGUAGGUGCUGCAUGGUUGUCGUCAGCUCGUGCCGUGAGGUGUCGGCUUAAGUGCCAUAACGAGCGCAACCCCUGUCUACGGUUGCCAUCAGGUGAUGCUGGGAACUCCGUAGAGACUGCCGUCGUAAGGCGUGAGGAAGGUGGGGAUGACGUCAAAUCAGCACGGCCCUUACAUCCGGGGCGACACACGUGUUACAAUGGUGGGGACAAAGGGCAGCUACCUGGCGACAGGAUGCGAAUCUCCAAACCCCAUCACAGUUCGGAUCGGAGUCUGCAACUCGACUCCGUGAAGCUGGAUUCGCUAGUAAUCGCGCAUCAGCCAUGGCGCGGUGAAUACGUUCCCGGGUCUUGUACACACC
Molecule: ribosomal RNA, 434 nt
Filed under: uncultured bacterium
Lineage: Bacteria
Description: bacterial SSU rRNA
Rfam family: Bacterial small subunit ribosomal RNA
Source: RNAcentral